AUUGAACGCUGGCGGCAGGCCUAACACAUGCAAGUCGGACGGUAGCACAGAGAGCUUGCUCUUGGGUGACGAGUGGCGGACGGGUGAGUAAUGUCCGGGGAUCUGCCCGAUAGAGGGGGAUAACCACUGGAAACGGUGGCUAAUACCGCAUAACGUCGCAAGACCAAAGAGGGGGACCUUCGGGCCUCUCACUAUCGGAUGAACCCAGAUGGGAUUAGCUAGUAGGCGGGGUAACGGCCCACCUAGGCGACGAUCCCUAGCUGGUCUGAGAGGAUGACCAGCCACACUGGAACUGAGACACGGUCCAGACUCCUACGGGAGGAAGCAGUGGGGAAUAUUGCACAAUGGGCGCAAGCCUGAUGCAGCCAUGCCGCGUGUAUGAAGAAGGCCUUCGGGUUGUAAAGUACUUUCAGCGGGGAGGAAGGCGGUGAGGUUAAUAACCACGCCGAUUGACGUUACCCGCAGAAGAAGCACCGGCUAACUCCGUGCCAGCCGCCGCCGUAA
RNAcentral lists this ribosomal RNA (504 nucleotides) under uncultured bacterium. RNAcentral's name for it is "partial 16S ribosomal RNA". It matches the Rfam family "Bacterial small subunit ribosomal RNA", at positions 29 to 523 of the family's 1533-position model. The record is from RNAcentral.